Molecule: ribosomal RNA, 510 nt
Filed under: uncultured bacterium
Lineage: Bacteria
Description: partial 16S ribosomal RNA
Rfam family: Bacterial small subunit ribosomal RNA
Source: RNAcentral
GACGAACGCUGGCGGCGUGCUUAACACAUGCAAGUCGAACGAAGAGCGAUGGAAGCUUGCUUCUAUCAAUCUUAGUGGCGAACGGGUGAGUAACGCGUAAUCAACCUGCCCUUCAGAGGGGGACAACAGUUGGAAACGACUGCUAAUACCGCAUACGAUCUGACCUCGGCAUCGAGGAUAGAUGAAAGGUGGCCUCUACAUGUAAGCUAUCACUGAAGGAGGGGAUUGCGUCUGAUUAGCUAGUUGGAGGGGUAACGGCCCACCAAGGCGAUGAUCAGUAGCCGGUCUGAGAGGAUGAACGGCCACAUUGGGACUGAGACACGGCCCAGACUCCUACGGGAGGCAGCAGUGGGGAAUCUUCCGCAAUGGACGAAAGUCUGACGGAGCAACGCCGCGUGAGUGAUGACGGCCUUCGGGUUGUAAAGCUCUGUUAAUCGGGACGAAAGGCCUUUUUGCGAAUAGUGAGAAGGAUUGACGGUACCGGAAGAGAAAGCCACGGCUAACUACGUG